Molecule: unclassified non-coding RNA, 332 nt
Filed under: uncultured fungus
Lineage: Eukaryota; Fungi
Description: partial contains 5.8S ribosomal RNA, internal transcribed spacer 2, and large subunit ribosomal RNA
Source: RNAcentral
AACGCAUCUUGCGCUCUUGGGUUAUUCCUAAGAGCAUGCCUGUUUGAGUGUCGCGAAACUCUCAACCCCGUUCUAUGCCUUUGUGCAUUGGAAUAGUUAGGGUUUGGAUCUUGGUCUUUGCAGUGAGCUUCGGUGAACUGCUGGAUUGAAAUACAACAAGCUGGAUUCAUAGACUUGCGGCUUGACCUGUCGUUGUAAGCAAAUCAUUGCAACUCGAUGGGGACGUAAGAUAAUGGAAUGAGCUUUCCAAAUUUGCUAUUCACUUCUGAAAUCUUAGCAUUUCAUUAGUGCAUUCUGACCUCAAAUCAGGUAGGAUUACCCGCUGAACUUAA